This 253-nucleotide ribosomal RNA is filed under the name uncultured Parabacteroides sp. RNAcentral describes it as "partial 16S ribosomal RNA". It matches the Rfam family "Bacterial small subunit ribosomal RNA", at positions 524 to 776 of the family's 1533-position model. The record is from RNAcentral. Lineage: Bacteria; Pseudomonadati; Bacteroidota; Bacteroidia; Bacteroidales; Tannerellaceae.
UACGGAGGAUCCGAGCGUUAUCCGGAUUUAUUGGGUUUAAAGGGUGCGUAGGCGGCCUUUUAAGUCAGCGGUGAAAGUCUGUGGCUCAACCAUAGAAUUGCCGUUGAAACUGGGGGGCUUGAGUAUGUUUGAGGCAGGCGGAAUGCGUGGUGUAGCGGUGAAAUGCUUAGAUAUUACUCAGAACACCGAUUGCGCAGGCAGCUUGCUAAUCCGCAUCUGACGCUGAUGCACGAAAGCGUGGGUAGCGAACAGG